RNAcentral lists this long non-coding RNA (405 nucleotides) under Mytilus galloprovincialis (Mediterranean mussel). Lineage: Eukaryota; Metazoa; Mollusca; Bivalvia; Mytilida; Mytilidae. The record is from RNAcentral.
UCAGAAUUCUGACCACGGGAUUUAAUAAUUUGACGAGACUAGUACAUCAUGUGCUAUGUUUGAUUAUGUAUUAUACUGAUAGCAAAUCAAAGAGAAAUUAGCACAUUUAUAACCCUACUGAGUUCUUUAGGGAAUGAAAGAUACCGGCUCAGUUUGUCAAGAACAUGUUAACACGCUCGUUGGUCAUUUAUCUGCGAGUACCACCAGGGGGUUAAUUAACAGAUACUUGUUUAUUUUGCGCAUCGCACUAGUAACAUUGAGGUCAAUUUCCUAUCACUUUAAUUGGCCAGUUUUAUUAGCGAAUCGUUGAAUUUGUACGACUCGUCCAAUUAAUGCCAAUGUGACAAUAGCUCCAACCCGUUCCUUCGGUGCGAAGCUAUAGAUAGAACGGCGGACCAGUUUACA